RNAcentral lists this ribosomal RNA (439 nucleotides) under uncultured bacterium. RNAcentral's name for it is "partial 16S ribosomal RNA". It matches the Rfam family "Bacterial small subunit ribosomal RNA", at positions 339 to 795 of the family's 1533-position model. The record is from RNAcentral.
CUACGGGGGGCAGCAGUGGGGAAUAUUGCACAAUGGGGGAAACCCUGAUGCAGCAACGCCGCGUGGAGGAUGACACAUUUCGGUGCGUAAACUCCUUUUAUAGGUCAAGAUAAUGACGGUAGCCUAUGAAUAAGCGCCGGCUAACUCCGUGCCAGCAGCCGCGGUAAUACGGAGGGCGCAAGCGUUACUCGGAAUCACUGGGCGUAAAGAGCAUGUAGGCGGGUUAAUAAGUCAGAAGUGAAAUCCAAUAGCUCAACUAUUGAACUGCUUUUGAAACUGUUAACCUAGAGUGUGGGAGAGGUAGAUGGAAUUUCUGGUGUAGGGGUAAAAUCCGUAGAGAUCAGAAGGAAUACCGAUUGCGAAGGCGAUCUACUGGAACAUUACUGACGCUAAGGCGUGAAAGCGUGGGGAGCAAACAGGAUUAGAUACCCCCGUAGUC